AUACGGAGGGUGCGAGCGUUAAUCGGAAUUACUGGGCGUAAAGGGUGCGUAGGCGGCUUGAUAAGUCGGAUGUGAAAGCCCCGGGCUUAACCUGGGAAUUGCAUUCGAUACUGUCAGGCUAGAGUAUGUCAGAGGUUGGCGGAAUUCCUGGUGUAGCGGUGAAAUGCGUAGAUAUCAGGAGGAACACCAGUGGCGAAGGCGGCUAACUGGGGCAAUACUGACGCUGAGGCACGAAAGCGUGGGGAGCAAACAGGAUUAGAUACCCCAGUAGUCC
RNAcentral lists this ribosomal RNA (274 nucleotides) under uncultured bacterium. RNAcentral's name for it is "partial 16S ribosomal RNA". It matches the Rfam family "Bacterial small subunit ribosomal RNA", at positions 523 to 796 of the family's 1533-position model. The record is from RNAcentral.